AAUUAUAUAGUCUAGAAAGGAUACUGAAUUGCAAUUUCAGGGGGAGUUUUAAAAACUUAUAAUUU
This 65-nucleotide transfer RNA is filed under the name Orthotomicus laricis. RNAcentral's name for it is "tRNA-Cys". Lineage: Eukaryota; Metazoa; Arthropoda; Insecta; Coleoptera; Curculionidae. The record is from RNAcentral.